This 442-nucleotide ribosomal RNA is filed under the name uncultured bacterium. RNAcentral's name for it is "partial 16S ribosomal RNA". It matches the Rfam family "Bacterial small subunit ribosomal RNA", at positions 339 to 795 of the family's 1533-position model. The record is from RNAcentral.
CUACGGGGGGCUGCAGUCGAGAAUCUUCCGCAAUGGGCGCAAGCCUGACGGAGCAAUGCCGCGUGAGGGAUGACGGCCCUGGGGUUGUAAACCUCUGUCAGAAGGGACGAAGAACGUGACGGUACCUUCAGAGGAAGCCAUGGCUAACUACGUGCCAGCAGCCGCGGUAAUACGUAGAUGGCGAGCGUUAUUCGGAUUUACUGGGCGUAAAGGGUCCGUAGGGGGUCUGCCAAGUCUGAUGUGAAAUCCUGCGGCUCAACCGCGGAACUGCAUUGGAAACUGGCGGACUAGAGUGUGCGAGGGGUGAGCGGAAUUCCUGGUGUAGCGGUGGAAUGCGUAGAUAUCAGGAAGAACACCGAUGGCGAAGGCGGCUCACUGGCGCAUCACUGACCCUGAGGGACGAAAGCGUGGGUAGCAAACAGGAUUAGAUACCCUCGUAGUC